This 253-nucleotide ribosomal RNA is filed under the name uncultured bacterium. RNAcentral describes it as "partial 16S ribosomal RNA". It matches the Rfam family "Bacterial small subunit ribosomal RNA", at positions 524 to 776 of the family's 1533-position model. The record is from RNAcentral.
GACGUAGGGCGCGAGCGUUGUCCGGAUUUAUUGGGCGUAAAGAGCUCGUAGGCGGCUUGUUGCGUCGACUGUGAAAACCCGCGGCUUAACUGCGGGCUUGCAGUUGAUACGGGCAGGCUAGAGUUCGGUAGGGGAGACUGGAAUUCCUGGUGUAGCGGUGAAAUGCGCAGAUAUCAGGAGGAACACCGGUGGCGAAGGCGGGUCUCUGGGCAGUAACUGACGCUGAGGAGCGAAAGCGUGGGGAGCGAACAGG